Molecule: ribosomal RNA, 1346 nt
Filed under: uncultured bacterium
Lineage: Bacteria
Description: partial 16S ribosomal RNA
Rfam family: Bacterial small subunit ribosomal RNA
Source: RNAcentral
GACGAACGCUGGCGGCGUGCUUAACACAUGCAAGUCGAACGGAAAGGCCCUGCUUUUGUGGGGUGCUCGAGUGGCGAACGGGUGAGUAACACGUGAGUAACCUGCCCUUGACUUUGGGAUAACUUCAGGAAACUGGGGCUAAUACCGGAUAGGAGCUCCUGCUGCAUGGUGGGGGUUGGAAAGUUUCGGCGGUUGGGGAUGGACUCGCGGCUUAUCAGCUUGUUGGUGGGGUAGUGGCUUACCAAGGCUUUGACGGGUAGCCGGCCUGAGAGGGUGACCGGCCACAUUGGGACUGAGAUACGGCCCAGACUCCUACGGGAGGCAGCAGUGGGGAAUAUUGCACAAUGGGCGGAAGCCUGAUGCAGCAACGCCGCGUGCGGGAUGACGGCCUUCGGGUUGUAAGCCGCUUUCGCCUGUGACGAAGCGUGAGUGACGGUAAUGGGUAAAGAAGCACCGGCUAACUACGUGCCAGCAGCCGCGGUGAUACGUAGGGUGCGAGCGUUGUCCGGAUUUAUUGGGCGUAAAGGGCUCGUAGGUGGUUGAUCGCGUCGGAAGUGUAGUCUUGGGGCUUAACCCUGAGCGUGCUUUCGAUACGGGUUGACUUGAGGAAGGUAGGGGAGAAUGGAAUUCCUGGUGGAGCGGUGGAAUGCGCAGAUAUCAGGAGGAACACCAGUGGCGAAGGCGGUUCUCUGGGCCUUUCCUGACGCUGAGGAGCGAAAGCGUGGGGAGCGAACAGGCUUAGAUACCCUGGUAGUCCACGCUGUAAACGGUGGGUACUAGGUGUGGGGUCCAUUCCACGGGUUCCGUGCCGUAGCUAACGCUUUAAGUACCCCGCCUGGGGAGUACGGCCGCAAGGCUAAAACUCAAAGGAAUUGACGGGGCCCCGCACAAGCGGCGGAGCAUGCGGAUUAAUUCGAUGCAACGCGUAGAACCUUACCUGGGUUUGACAUGGAUCGGGAGUGCUCAGAGAUGGGUGUGCCUCUUUUGGGGUCGGUUCACAGGUGGUGCAUGGCUGUCGUCAGCUCGUGUCGUGAGAUGUUGGGUUAAGUCCCGCAACGAGCGCAACCCUUGUUCACUGUUGCCAGCACGUUAUGGUGGGGACUCAGUGGAGACCGCCGGGGUCAACUCGGAGGAAGGUGGGGAUGACGUCAAGUCAUCAUGCCCCUUAUGUCCAGGGCUUCACGCAUGCUACAAUGGCUGGUACAGAGAGUGGCGAGCCUGUGAGGGUGAGCGAAUCUCGGAAAGCCGGUCUCAGUUCGGAUUGGGGUCUGCAACUCGACCUCAUGAAGUCGGAGUCGCUAGUAAUCGCAGAUCAGCAACGCUGCGGUGAAUACGUUCCCGGGGCU